GAGAGUAUAGCUCAAAGUGGUAGAGCGCAUGCUUAGCAUGCACGAGGUCCUGGGUUCAAUCCUCAGUACCUCCU
Molecule: transfer RNA, 74 nt
Organism: Camelus ferus (Wild Bactrian camel)
Lineage: Eukaryota; Metazoa; Chordata; Mammalia; Artiodactyla; Camelidae
Rfam family: tRNA
About the family: Transfer RNA (tRNA) molecules are approximately 80 nucleotides in length. Their secondary structure includes four short double-helical elements and three loops (D, anti-codon, and T loops).
Source: Rfam